CCAUAACCUCACAAUGUUGAGGUUCAUUGACUAGAAGGUUGGUGCAGGGGAGAGUGUGUUGUGGACUCAACAACAAAUCGAGAGAGGUUUCACAGCUAUUGAGAACCUGAUACAACUAAAAGGAUGCGCCGGGAAGUAUGCAACAGGAGAUGAAGUCCAAUUGCAGCUUCAAAAUCAAGUCCGACUUCCAAGAAGAGCAAGGAUGACGAUGAUUCUGAUGAGGACGAGACAGAUGAAACCAAUUGCCUUUUAAUGGUCUAUGUUAUCAUUCAAAAUUGUCUUAUGUUGACACUAUGUAUAUAUGCUAUUCACAAUAA
Long non-coding RNA from Zea mays, 317 nucleotides. RefSeq lists it as uncharacterized. The record is from RefSeq and is a predicted model, not a curated record. The transcript is spliced from 4 exons. Lineage: Eukaryota; Viridiplantae; Streptophyta; Magnoliopsida; Poales; Poaceae.